CAAUAGCGUAUAUUAAAGUUGUUGCAGUUAAAAAGCUCGUAGUUGGAUUUCUGCUGAGGACGAUCGGUCCGCCCACUGGGUGAGUAUCUGGCUCGGCCUUGGCAUCUUCUUGGAGAACGUUGCUGCACUUGACUGUGUGGCGCGGUAUCCAGGACUUUUACUUUGAGGAAAUUAGAGUGUUUCAAGCAGGCGCACGCCUUGAAUACAUUAGCAUGGAAUAAUGAGAUAGGACCUUGGUUCUAUUUUGUUGGUUUCUAGAGCUGGGGUAAUGAUUAAUAGGGAUAGUUGGGGGCAUUCGUAUUUAACUGUCAGAGGUGAAAUUCUUGGAUUUGUUAAAGGCGGACUACUGCGAAAGCACUUGCCAAGGAUGUUUUCAUUGA
Molecule: ribosomal RNA, 380 nt
Filed under: uncultured eukaryote
Lineage: Eukaryota
Description: partial 18S ribosomal RNA
Rfam family: Eukaryotic small subunit ribosomal RNA
Source: RNAcentral